RNAcentral lists this ribosomal RNA (460 nucleotides) under uncultured bacterium. Its description in RNAcentral is "partial 16S ribosomal RNA". It matches the Rfam family "Bacterial small subunit ribosomal RNA", at positions 338 to 795 of the family's 1533-position model. The record is from RNAcentral.
CCUACGGGCGGCAGCAGUGAGGAAUAUUGGUCAAUGGGCGCGAGCCUGAACCAGCCAAGUAGCGUGAAGGAUGACUGCCCUACGGGUUGUAAACUUCUUUUAUCAAGGAAUAAAGUGAGGCCCGUGUGCCUUUUUGUAUGUACUUUAUGAAUAAGGAUCGGCUAACUCCGUGCCAGCAGCCGCGGUAAUACGGAGGAUCCGGGCGUUAUCCGGAUUUAUUGGGUUUAAGGGGAGCGUAGAUGGGUGGUUAAGUCAGUUGUGAAAGUUUGCGGCUCAACCGUAAAAUUGCAAUUGAUACUGGCAGGCUUGAGUACAGUUGAGGUAGGCGGAAUGCGUGGUGUAGCGGUGAAAUGCUUAGAUAUCACGAAGAACACCGAUUGCGAAGGCAGCUUACUAAACUGCCACUGACAUUGAUGCUCGAAAGUGUGGGUAUCAAACAGGAUUAGAUACCCCGGUAGUC